This 8635-nucleotide long non-coding RNA is filed under the name Malus domestica (apple). RNAcentral describes it as "long non-coding RNA (MDOM_LNC007251)". The stretch from base 7894 to 7973 matches the Rfam family "tRNA". Lineage: Eukaryota; Viridiplantae; Streptophyta; Magnoliopsida; Rosales; Rosaceae. The record is from RNAcentral.
UCGCCGUUGAGCGCCAUGGCUUCAGCGGUCAGGUUUUCCGUCGUUUCUAGAUUUCGAUUCGUCUGUUAGGGCUCGGUUUAUUCCUGCGAUAUUGAUGAUUUAUUUCGAUGGAUUACGUUUGUUAUCGGUGUGUGAUUUUAGGGUUUGGAUUCUUGGCGAUGGGGAUUUUUCUUGCCAGGUUAAAAUUUUUGAUCUAACGAUGCUUGAAGGUUGAAUUUCCUUAUAUAUUUCAAUUUUUUGGAUUGCGUUUCCGGUUUUGAUUCAUCUGUUUGGGAUUGAUUGAUUGAUUCUGCGUUCGUAGUGCUGUCGGUGUGUUUCUAGGGUUUGGUGGCUGGAUUCGUGGCAAUCGCCUCAUUCUAACAGGUUUAAUAAAGUUUGGAUCUGUCGGUGUGUUUCUAGGGUUUGUUGGCUGGAUUCGUGGCAAUCGCCUCUUUCUAACAGGUUUAAUAACGUUUGGAUCUGAUUAUUUUUCAAAGGUUGCGAAUUCCCAAUCGAAUUUUGUGGAUAUUGAUGGAUUUUGAUAUCUCAUCUUAAAUCUGUUGAUCUGCUUUUGGGUUUUUUGAUUUGGUGUGGUGGUUCCAGGGCGUUUUGGAUUCAAUAACUGGUUCAGCUAGGAGUUCGAUUUGAAGAUUCUCUAUUUACCCUGGGUUUUUGCGUAUCUUCUGUUACCUCAUUGAAGUUUAUGAAAUGAUGAUUUAGUUUAGAAAUUUUGAUCCCCAUCCCAUAUAUGUCCGAAUAAAUGGAGCUUUGUUGUUAACUUUCAGGCAUGGAUUGCGGGUUUCAGUCGCAUAGAUGUCUUAAGACUCGAGCGGUUAGGUAUUGUAUUUGGCUAAUGUUUUGAUGGCGUUCUUGUGUGAUUGCUCUGUGGUUGGGUUUGUACUCCUGUUUUCGCGAUAAAAAUCUUUUGAUGCCUCCCUUUCUUCUUAAAUGUUUAUUUUCCUCCUCUCUCAUUCAAAAAUCGUUCUAAAUUUUAUUACCUUCUAUUGGCAGAUACUAAAUUGGGAAUUUGUACGGUAUUAUCAAGCUGGCAUUAUUUUACACGUAAAUUGGGAAUAUGUUCAAAUCGGGUUUAAUGUCCUCAAUAUUGAUUAUUUCCAUUCAAUUCUGCAUCUUUUUGCAGUCGCUCGUUUUCAGAUCUUUUUAUUUCUUUCCUCAGAUUUAUUUUCCUAUCUCAGAAAAUGUUUGGCCUACGUUUAUUUUUGUUUAGCAGCUACUUUUUAAUUUUUAUUCCUAAAUAAAUAUUGGCUAUUAUGUAUUUUAAGGCUUCUUGCCCACAGCUUUUGUUUUAUAGUUCUAAGAGUCUUGAAGGUUUCGUUUUUUGUUUAGCAGCGUCUUAUGCAAAUGCGUUCUAAUUCUUCUUAGCCAGUCACAGCUAAGAUUUUUUGUAGAUGAAAAAUGUUUCAGGGAGCUGGAGGUGUCUCGGUUUGUUUAUGCACCCUGCUUGGCUUCUUGUUUCUGUUAAAUGUCCAUUACAUUCGAUUGCUGUGUUGUCCUGCCCUUGAUGUUUAGUGCAGAUUCAUCAACAGGGUUCUAACUUCACUCUAUGAGUGGGCACUUAAAGAAGGGGUUUCUCUUGGCUUUUGAUUCUUUUUUUUUUUGUAUUUUAGAGCGUAUAGGUUUUGUGCCACAAUCUGAGCAGUUCUUUUGUCUGCAGACACAUUUUAUUCUUGUUGAGGGAGAGCUGGGUGUUUCAAAGAUGGGGUUUGAGUGGUUCUGAGUGUGAUUUAACUUUUAUGAAUUUGAGCCAUUGUUAUAUCAAUGAUCUUAUUAAAAAAAUUUCUGGUUACAGUUUCGCUGGGUCGAGGAAAAUGGCUGCCUGAUUUAAAGGGGGUUUGUUUCUUUGCUUAUGUUUUAACUGUAUUCUUAGGGCUUAUGAGAUCUAGCACCAUUAUUUGUGGAAUAUUCUUUGCAGAUGAUGUAUCUUGUUUGUUUAUGAAGUCUAAUCUUGUUGGAGCAGAACAUGCUGGUUUGGAGGGGGUCUAAGUGCUUUCUUGCUUUUUAAUUGAAUACUCAUUCAUUUGAUUUGUUUGGUCCUACGUUUGUGUCUACCCAUUCUUGUUUGUAUGCAGAUGUGGGUCGAAGUGCACCUUGUUAGGAUUCUACAGUUUGGGAGCUUUGUGUGGCUUGGUUUGUUUAUUCACCCUGAUUGGCUUCUUGUUUCUGUUAAAUGACCAUUACAUUCGAUUUCUGUGCUGUCCUUCCUUUGGUGUCUUAUGCAGAUGCAUAGCUGAGUCCUAACUCUAUCCAUCCCUAGUAAAGAGUGUCGGAGUUUCACUUCUUUAAAACAUGAGCGGGCAGAAUUUUAAUAGGGGGUUCCUCUUGGCUUAUGAUUCUAUUUUUGUAUUUUAGAGCGAAUGGAUCUUGCCAUAAUCUGAGCAAUGUUUCCUUAUGCAGACACAUUCUAAUCUUUUUGGAAGGAGAACAUGCUGCUUCAAAGCGGGGGUUUGAGUGGUUUUCGAUUGAUUUAAUUUUAUGUGAUUUUGAAACAUUAUUUGAACAAUGAUCUUUUCAAAUAUUUUCUGGCUAUGCAGUUUCCCUCAGUUGAAGGAAAAUGGCUGCCUGAUUUAAAAGGGGGGUUUCUUGGCAUAUGUUUCAAUCUCUUGGCUUAUGAUUCUAUUUUUGUAUUUUAGAGCGUAUGGAUCUUGCCAUAAUCUGUGCAAUGCUUCCUUAUGCAGACACAUUCUAAUCUUUUUGGAAGGAGAACAUGCUGCUUCAAAGCGGGGGUUUGAGUGGUUUUCGAUUGAUUUAAUUUUAUGUGAUUUUGAAACAUUAUUUGAACAAUGAUCUUUUCAAAUAUUUUCUGGCUAUGCAGUUUCCCUCAGCUGAAGGAAAAUGGCUGCCUGAUUUAAAAGGGGGUUUCUUGGCAUAUAUUUCAAUCUCUUGGCUUAUGAUUCUAUUUUUGUAUUUUAGAGCGUAUGGAUCUUGCCAUAAUCUGUGCAAUGCUUCCUUAUGCAGACACAUUCUAAUCUUUUUGGAAGGAGAACAUGCUGCUUCAAAGCGGGGGUUUGAGUGGUUUUUCGAUUGAUUUAAUUUUAUGUGAUUUUGAAACAUUAUUUGAACAAUGAUCUUUUCAAAUAUUUUCUGGCUAUGCAGUUUCCCUCAGUUGAAGGAAAAUGGCUGCCUGAUUUAAAAGGGGGUUUCUUGGCAUAUGUUUCAAUCUCUUGGCUUAUGAUUCUAUUUUUGUAUUUUAGAGCGUAUGGAUCUUGCCAUAAUCUGAGCAAUGCUUCCUUAUGCAGACACAUUCUAAUCUUUUUGGAAGGAGAACAUGCUGCUUCAAAGCGGGGGUUUGAGUGGUUUUCGAUUGAUUUAAUUUUAUGUGAUUUUGAAACAUUAUUUGAACAAUGAUCUUUUCAAAUAUUUUCUGGCUAUGCAGUUUCCCUCGGUUGAAGGAAAAUGGCUGCCUGAUAUAAAAGGGGGUUUCUUGGCAUAUGUUUCAAUCUCUGUUUUCUUAAUGGCUUAUGAGAUCUAGCACCAUUAUUUGUGGAAUUUUCGUUGCAGAUGAUAUACUUUAUGGAGUUGGCUUGUUGAAGCAGAACGUGUCGUUUUUAAGAGGGGUUUUAAGUGCUUCCUUGUUUUCGGUUGAAUUUUCUGUUCUUUGGCUUUUUCUGGUUCAUCGAUUUGUGUCUACCUAUUCUUGUUUGUAUGCAGAUGUGUUGAAGUGCAGCUAAUUAGGAGUUGAACAGUUUAAAGGAGAGCGGGUGUCCUUCUCUUAGGGGGUUCCAUUGUCUUCUGAUUAUAUUCUAUUUUCUUAGAGCGUAUAUUUUUGUGCCUUUAUUUGAGCAGAGCACUGUUUUUAUAUGCAGACAUAUUCCUACGCCUGUCUGUGUACGAGGUCCAUGCUUGUUAGCUCUGUUGUAGAACGGGCUGUUUCUAAGAUGGGGUUUGAGUGAUUAUUGGAUUAUGUAAUUUCUUAUUUUUGGUGGGUUAAUGUUACCUCCUACCAUUAUUUGAUCAGUGAUCGAUGUUUCAUAUCAGAUGCUACCUGAAUUUUUGGUCAUGAAAUCUCACUCAGUCGUUGAGCAAUUUGCUAUCUGCUUCGAAAGGGGGUUUGAUGUUUCUUGGUUUAUGCUUACCUUUCUUAUAUAUUGGAGGUUGUGAGACAUGGACCAUUAUUUGCGCAAUUUUCUGUGCAGAUGCGUUUUAGAGUUCGUAUGCGUAUGGAGUUUAACUUUGUUCAAGGAGAAAGGGGUGCUUUGAAGGGGGUUUCUUUUGAAUCUGUUUUAAAUUUCUAUAUGUCGACUCUGUAUGUGAUUCUACGCCUUGAUUUGAGCAACGCUUCUGUAUGCAGACAUUCUCUCUCUUGUCCAUAUAUGGCAACCACCGUGGAAGGAGCAGUUUGAAUAUGGGGGUUUGAGUAGUUCUUGGGUUAUUAUUUUGUUUCUUAUUCCUUUGGGUUGACGGGAGCUGAAAUAAUCAUUGCAACAAUGUUUCAUGCAGUUACAUUCCAGAUAGUCUAUUUAAGAAGUCUGUUGGAUGGAUUGGCCGACUGCUUUUGAAAAGGGGGUUUGAUGCUUCUAAGCCUGUACUCUUGUAUUCAUUAGACUAAAUACUAUAUGCGAUCGUGGACUAUCAUUUGAGCAGUUAUUUGUGCAGAUGCCUUUGUCUUUUGUCUGUUUGUGUAGUCUUUACUUCAUUAUCGGAGAGCAGCCUGAGCAGGCAGCUUUUAAGAGGGGGUUUUUGGGCUUACGUUUAUCUUUUUACUUUCUAUUUUAUUUUUUUAUUAGUACGUAGCUUGUACCUUCCUUUGAGCAAUGGUUUUUGUAUGCAGACACGUCCGGACUCUAUUUUUGUGAAAGGAGAGCGGUGGAUUUUAACAGGGGUUACCUUAUGUUUUUGUUUUAAUUGUCCGUUAUUAGACUUUGUAUGCAAUCUUGCACCAUGAGUGGGCAUUGUUUCUGUAUGCAGACAUAUUGGCGAGCAUUGGAAGGAGGGCAGUCUGAAUGGGGGUUUGAGUUCGGUUUUGGAUGUUAUUUCUUACUCGUUUGGGUUUGAUGAGAUCUGGAACUAUUAUUGGAACAAUGUUUUAUGCAGGACCUAUUCCAAAAUAGUCUGUUUAUGAAGUCUCAGAGUGUUGGAUGGCAACGGGCUGCCUGUUUUAAAGAGGGGUUUAAUAUAUCUUAGCCUAUGUCUUGAUCUCCUAUUUCUUGUGUUUUGCGAUAUUGUUUGAGCAAUUAAUUAUGCAGACGCCUUUUUGUGUCGGAUGGAGUCCAACUCAUUAUAGGAGAGCAGCCAACUUUUGAGAGGGGGUCUUUGGCUUACGGUUUUUUUUUUUUUUUUCUUUUGUUGGCGUGAUAGAGAUAUUUUAUAGUUAUUUGAGCAAUGUUUUUUGUAUGCAGACACGUCCCCACAUUAGGUUGUAUGUGGUGUGCAAGUUUAGUGGGGGAGAAUGGGCUGCUUAUGAAAGGGGGUUUCCAUAGUUUGCCUUAUGAAUUUAUUUCAAGUUUUUUGUGAGUUUUGAGAUGCUGAACCAUUAUACUCACUGUUUAUUUGCAGAUGUGUCCCAAACUUUUCUUUUGCCUCACUCAGUUGAGUGAAAAAUGGGCUGCCUGCUUUUAGGACGAAGUCAGAUACCUUUUCCCUUUUUUGUUUGUUUGUAAUUUAUUUGCUCUUAUGAGACCUCUUAUGAUUUUCAUUUUUUCUUUCUUUGUUUAUAUAUAUAUUUGCUGUAUUAUUUGUGCGUACUUUUUGUAUGCAGAGACAUCCCAGCUUCUGUCUGUGCUCAGAAGGGGUGCGAAAUGCUUUUAGAAGGGGUUUGAGUUCUUGUCUUGUUACUUGAUUUCAUAUUGGUUUGGAUACCAUUGUCUUCCACGCUAAUGCAUUUGCAGACGUUUUUAGCUUGGAGUCUUUCAUGGGGGUCUACUUUAUGGAAUUGUCCUCACAUUCGGUUUGCUAUUCAUCUGUCAGCCGUCACUUUGUUCAUUAAAAGAUUUGUCUUCAUUGGGUUUACACUUAAUUGGCUUCAUUGUCUUUUGGCACUGGUUUACGCAUCUCAGCUUGGUUUAUGUUCAAAUGUUUCAGCUUGUGUGGAUGGUGGUACUCCCUAUUGUUUGACAAACGCUGAAUUUUGUUUGGUGACUUAAAAUUCUUCAUUCGGCAUUUUUUAUUUCAGCAACGCAUUAUUCAGUUAUCUUUAAACAUAGUUACAGAGGAUAGCGGUCUGCAGCUGAUUUUAAGUUGGAUGAUGGUUCUUUUCUUAUAUUUAGUUUUCCUGUAAAGCGCCGUAAGGUCUUUUUGGUUGGUGCUUCGCUUCAUUGAAUCCUAGAGGAGUAUGAGCUGCUUCUAAGAUGGAGUUUGUUACUUGAUGGCUUUUAUUUUCAAGAUGGCACUCUACGUGGACCGAAGUCAUGGAUUGUGGUUUUGUUUCAACAACUAUGUUUGUGUCGUGCUGUGGUCCUGUGCAGAAUAAUGUCAAGUCUCAUGGGGUUGGGCUGGAUUCAAUAUCUUCUACUUUCCUUGGCCAGAGAUUUCUUCCGGGAGUUGCUUUUAAUUUAAGAGGUUCAUGCUUUCUGUCCUAUCAAGUUAUCGUUUAAUUUGCCAUCUGUAAGAGUUCAUAAUAUCCAGGCAGCUAUGUAUGUCGAUGCAUUCCGCAAGGCAUUUGUUAGAAACUUAGAGGGGGUGUUUAACGUGCUUACUAUCUGGCAGCAGUGUUUGGGAUAUAUGAUUAUGCAUUGAGGAGCUUAUUUCUUUUUCUUGAAUGAGUAUCAUGUUGAAGUUGAUGGAACUGACCGUAGAAGAUGUUGUGGAGUCGGGUUUUAUCCUAUUCAGACUUUAUUAUUUCCCUGUUUCUCAUCGAUCAUCUCUUUAGUUUCCCUUAUGUACUUUGUCAUUAGUGUUGGUAUUACUUAUGCAGAUGUAACUUUGGUGAGGUCUUGCUUGAUUUCAAGUUUUGAUGAUGGAAAUAAAAGUGGUAUAAAUGUCCUUUUUCCCUUUUGUAUUGAAGUUUCGCAAUCUCGUAUCAUGAAUUUAUUAUCACUGUCCAAUUCAGUUUUUAUUUUUUUAUUUUUAUUUUUUAAAUCUGAUCCUCGUUUGGCUUUAGAUCCGGUUUAUUGUCGACGUGGAAGCUGUGCAGGUUGCAUUUUAAAAUUUAAUGCAACUGUCGUGAUUUUAUAUGUGCAAUGUCAUAGUGUUGCUGGAUUAAUAUUUUUAACUUAUUGAAAAUGGUGAAUAUUCUUAAUUGUGGGCUAAUUUGGAAAGCAGCUAAAUGAAGGGCAUCAAUUAUUUUAUAGUGUGGUGAUCUGUAUCUGCAAUUCGAAUAUAUUGCUUGGAAUAUAAUGCUAAAACAAGGGCAAAGCAUGUUAGCUGAAUGAAGGAAUUCUUAUAUCGAAUUGUAAGUAAGUCCACUGUCUGAUUUUGUUUAAACUCUUGUUGCUAGACACAUAAUUUUAUUUGUUUCGUGUUUUAAUUGUUGUUACAGGCGCAUGAUAUUUCGAUACAAUAACAUGAUGUAUUUUAGUCAAAAACUACACUUUUUAUAUUUGUAACGUUACGUGUUCUAAUUCGGCACAAUAGUUUUGAGUUUAUUUCAGUGGAUUCGUAUGACAAUUAUCUGAUAUAUAAGAGGUCUGGCAUUAGUUGUUAGUCAUCUGCCCUUGGUAUUGCUGCUGCUAAAUUUGGGUGUUGUUAGGAUAGAGGAGAUUUUCGCUGAUCAAGUUGUGUGUAGUGCUCGAAUAUGUUUAGCCGCAUGAUUUGUAAUUAUGUCUCUAGUUGUUACGGCUCUUCGGUGUUUUCGUCCUGCAUUUAGAGAUGUCUUUUAGGGGUAUAACAUGCAAAAAAUAAAACUUAAAAAGAGUAAAUGAGAAAUUGUCCGGAUCGUUUCUUUUCCUCUCGUGUCCAAUCGUUUGUUAUAGUCUGUUGUGUGUGCAUUUGUUGUUAGGUUAGGUUAGGUUAGGUUAGAGGGAUGUAGCUCAAAAUGGUAGAGCAACUCAGCUUGUGUUGUAGCUGAGAAGAUCAAGGUUCGAAUCCUUGCAUCCCUGCAUCCUACUUUAUUGCAUUGAGAAAUGAAUUCUAACUUCUUGUGUGUAGUGCUUCUGUUUGUGUUUAGAAAUCCUGGAAGACGUAUGGAACUGCCUAAUUUUCAAGGCGGAGGUUACCCUCUGCAUGCUGUUUUCGUUACUCAGAUGAUCAGGUCUUUGAAUGUAUCGAAUUUCAGGCUGGAAACCUGCUUCUGCAUUUCCCGUGCAGACCGGAGAGAGCUGCUCAAGCUUCGGUAGCCUUCGGGUGUUUGGGGGAAGAAAACCAUCAGCAUCCGAGACAGAUCGAAGAUCUUGUGGAAGAAAAAACAUCAUCAUCGCCACCACGACGCACUAUAGAAAACGAGGGUGGCAGUGCAAGGAAAAGGAAGGAAACCAAAAGGACCGGUUGUGGAACUUCUUGUUUCAUAAGAAAAACAUCUAAUAGAUCUUUAGAGUUGAUAUGUUUACAAAUUCAUCUUUUGGGAUUUGGUAUGUUGUGUUUCUGUUUUGGGCCCUGAGAUCUCUUUCUGUUUGAGCUCGCUGGAAAUUUCGGGCACAAGUAUUCAAUUUGUUCGUACCUGUUUACUAUUGAACUGAGACCAACAUAGCAAAAAUUCUUCGAGACUAUCGGCCUGUCUAUUUUCUUUGGGCUUGUAAGAUCUUGUUUACCAAAUUAUUUCUAA